CAAAACAUAAAAAAUGGGUCUUUAUAAAUUUUUUUAAUAUCGAUGAAACAACAAUAAUAUAUUAACAUAAAUUUUUUCAAUCAAUUAUUCAAAAGAGUUUUCAAUCAAAAGAGAAGAAAAGAUAACUUACUAAGAAUUCAACAUUAACAGUAUAAGUUUCUUACUUUAUCUAAAUACAACACGUCUUGCAGUUUUAGAAGCAAAUGUAUU
This 210-nucleotide long non-coding RNA is filed under the name Salvia miltiorrhiza (redroot sage). RNAcentral's name for it is "long non-coding RNA (SMIL_LNC001134)". The record is from RNAcentral. Lineage: Eukaryota; Viridiplantae; Streptophyta; Magnoliopsida; Lamiales; Lamiaceae.